ACGAAGUGAAGUGGUUGGUGUAUUGCGUAGUUGUAGAGAUUGGAUUUCACUCAAAACUCACCAAAUGACUCCUCCCACCAUAUUACGAUGUUCUCCAAGUUUUGGACUCAACCCGACAUCAAUGCCCAUGAAAUUGGACAAUUCAGGUUCGUACGAAGUUUGUUAUGAAAUGGAGUGGUAGGUGUAUUGUAUAGUUCUAGAGAUUGGAUUUCCCUCAAAACCCACCAAAUGACUCCUCCUCCCACUAUAUUAUGACGUUCCCCAAGUGUUGGACUAAAUCCGAUAUCGAUUGGUCCAUGAAUUUGGAUUCAGGUUCGCACGAAGUUCGUUAUGAAAUGGAAUGGUUGGUGUAUUGUAUAGUUCUAGAGAUUGGAUUUCACUCAAAACCCACCAAAUGACUCCUCCCACAAUAUUAUGAUGUUCCCCACGUUUUGGACUCAAUAUGAUAUGGAUUGGUCCACAAAAUCAGAAAAUUCAGGUUCGUAUCAAGUUCGUUCUGAAAUGCAGUGGUUGGUGUAUUGCUUAGUUUUAGCCAUUGGAUUUAGCUCAAAACUCACCAAAUGACUCCUCCCACCAUAUUAUGAUGUUUCCCAAGUUUUGGGCACAAUCCGAUAUCGAUUGGUCCAAGAAAUUGGACUAUUCAUGUUCCUAUGAAGUUCGUUCUCUAAUGGAGGGGUUGGUGUAUUUCCUAGUUUUUGCUAUUGGAUUUCACCCAAAACCCACCAAAUGACUCCUCCCACGAUAUUAUGAUGUUCCCCACAUCAAUUGGUCCACGAAAUCGGACAAUUCAGGUUCCUACGAAGUAUGUUCUGAAAUGGAGUGGUUGGUGUACUGAAUUGUUUUAGAAAUUGGAAUUCACUCAAAACUCACCAAUUGACUCCACCCAUCAUAUUAUGAUGGUCCCCAAGUUUUGGCCUCAAUCUGAUAUCGAUUGGUCUAUGAAAUUGGAAAAUUCAGGUUCGUACGAAGUUCGUUAUGAAAUGAAGUGGUUGGUGUAUUGCGUAGUUGUGGAGAUUGGAUUUCACUCAAAACUCACCAAAUGACUCCUCCCACCAUAUUACGAUGUCCCCCCAGUUUUGGACUCAAUCCGACAUCGAUCGGUCCACAAAAUUGGACAAUUCCGGUUCCUCCGAAGUUUGUUGUGAAAUGGAGUGGUUGGUGUAUUGCAUAGUUUUAGCCGUUGGAUUUCACUCAAAACUCAACAAAUGACUCCUCCCACUAUAUUAUGAUGUUCCCCAAGUUUUGGGCUCAAUCCAAUAUCGAUUGGUGCAACAAAUUAGACUGUUCAUGUUCGAAUGAAGUUCGUUCUCUAAUGGAGUGGUUGUUGUAUUUCAUAACUUUUGCUAUUGGAUUUCUCCCAAAAAUCACCAAAUGACUCCUCCCACUAUAUUGUGAUGUUCCCCAAGUUUUGGACUCAGUCCGACAUCGAUUGGUCCAUGAAAUUGGACAAUUCCGGUUGGUCCGAAGUUUGUUCUGAAAUGGACUGGUUGGCGUAUUGUAUAGUACUAGAGAUUGGAUAUCACUGAAAACCCACCGAAUGACUCCCCCCACAAUAUUAUGAUGUUCCCCAACUUUUGGACUCAAUCCGAUAACGAUUGGUCCAUGAAAUCGGACAAUUCAGGUUCGUACGAAGUUCGUUCUGAAAUGGAGUGGUUGGUAUGCUGCACAUUUUUAGCCAUUGGAUUUCACUCAAAACUCAACAAAUGACUCCUCCCACCAUAUUAUGAUGUUCUCCAUGUUUUGGACUCAACCCGACAUCAAUGCCCAUGAAAUUGGACAAUUCUGGUUCGUACGAAGUUUUUUAUGAAAUGGAGUGGUAGGUGUAUUGUAUAGUUCUAGAGAUUGGAUUUCCCUC
Molecule: long non-coding RNA, 1855 nt
Filed under: Prunus persica (peach)
Lineage: Eukaryota; Viridiplantae; Streptophyta; Magnoliopsida; Rosales; Rosaceae
Description: long non-coding RNA (PPER_LNC008529)
Source: RNAcentral